RNAcentral lists this ribosomal RNA (253 nucleotides) under uncultured bacterium. Its description in RNAcentral is "partial 16S ribosomal RNA". It matches the Rfam family "Bacterial small subunit ribosomal RNA", at positions 524 to 776 of the family's 1533-position model. The record is from RNAcentral.
UACGUAGGUGGCGAGCGUUAUCCGGAUUUACUGGGCGUAAAGCGUGUGCAGGUGGCCUGUUAAGUGGUGUAUGAAAGCCCCCGGCUCAACCGGGCGGUGGCGGGCGGGACGGCGCGGCUGGAGGGUGGUAGGGGCCAGUGGAAUUCCCGGUGUAGUGGUGAAAUGCGUAGAUACCGGGAGGAACACCCGCAGCGAAGGCGGCUGGCUGGGCCAUUCCUGACGCUGAGGCGCGAAGGCUCGGGGAGCGAACGGG